GUCCACGCCGUAAACGAUGUGUGUUUGUCGCCGGGGGUUCACUCUUCGGUGACGCAGCUAACGCGUUAAACACACCGCCUGGGAAGUACGGCCGCAAGGUUAAAACUCAAAGGAAUUGACGGGGACCCGCACAAGCGGUGGAGUAUGUGGUUUAAUUCGUCGCAACGCGAAGAACCUUACCAGGCCUUGACAUGCCCUCUAUGGGCCCCAGAGACGGGGUCCUUCACUUCGGGUGGGAGGGACACAGGUGCUGCAUGGCUGUCGU
Molecule: ribosomal RNA, 265 nt
Filed under: uncultured bacterium
Lineage: Bacteria
Description: partial 16S ribosomal RNA
Rfam family: Bacterial small subunit ribosomal RNA
Source: RNAcentral